This is a long non-coding RNA of Bombus huntii, 381 nucleotides long. RefSeq lists it as uncharacterized. The transcript is spliced from 2 exons. NCBI's taxonomy places the organism in Eukaryota, Metazoa, Arthropoda, Insecta, Hymenoptera, Apidae. The record is from RefSeq and is a predicted model, not a curated record.
GUUUGCCAGGAUAAGCUGGUGUAACUUUAGUUUUUUCUAUUAUUUUUCCACUAUUAGGUUCUAUUGGAAGAGGAUAACACAAAUCACCAAUUGGAGGAAACCUACAAAUAAAAAUUUAAGAUGGAAAUUCUUAUAUACUUUCUGGUGUUACCAUUACUGUUACAAGGACUGGAGUUGCUCUCACUUUCUGAGUUGGAACAACCUGUUUGGAUAUUCUUUACAGUUGCAGCAUCCUUGAUUUCUUCUGCUGGCACAAAAUGUGUAGGUUUUGGUAAUUUUGUAGCUUUCACAACGACUUCGCUUUGAGUACAAGGAUUUGAACCUAAAAGUGAUAGAAUUUAAUGAAUAAUUUUAAAUAAAAGAAAUUAAAUUACACCAUAA